RNAcentral lists this long non-coding RNA (601 nucleotides) under Populus tremula. RNAcentral's name for it is "long non-coding RNA (PTRE_LNC002925)". The record is from RNAcentral. Lineage: Eukaryota; Viridiplantae; Streptophyta; Magnoliopsida; Malpighiales; Salicaceae.
CGGUGCAUGAAAAUGACAGGAGGGCAAAGUUACAGGUCCACGUGACACGUGUUAUCAUAAAAUAAUGCAAAACAAAGGCACUGACCGAACCAUGGUUACCUUUUAGAAAAAUUCUCACCUACGGGGAAUAACGCUUGGUUAGGUUAGUCUUUAGGGAGUCGUCUUCCUCGCCUUGGAAUUGAAACACCACCAAACCAAUCACUGUACUGCACUACUCUUUUUCCAAAAAACGUAUCCGGAGUUCCAAAAUCAGAAUACGUCAAAGCAGGACACGUGGGGUGAAACUAUGGACGGUGUAAAAAAGAGGGGGGGCGUUCGUUGGCAGCGAGAUGAAAUAGGAAGCGAGAGUAAAGGAGAUGGACACGUUUCGAGAGGAGCAGGGAGUCGUGGAUGGUUUGGUGAAACAGUCUGACGUUUGAAAAUACGGGAAGCUGGUUACGUGGCGGCUAACUCUUGGGUUUGAGAAAGGGUUGGGUUCCGGCAGGUUUCUGGCUGGUUUUCUGCGUGGCAGGGCGGAGCAUUCCGGCGGGUUCGCACAUCAACCGGUUAAAAGGUUGUAUCUGCCGUAGCAUGGAAGCGUUCAUGAAUGUGUGUGUUCUUA